GGGCGUUAAGUUGCAGGGUAUAGACCCGAAACCCGGUGAUCUAGCCAUGGGCAGGUUGAAGGUUGGGUAACACUAACUGGAGGACCGAACCGACUAAUGUUGAAAAAUUAGCGGAUGACCUGUGGCUGGGGGUGAAAGGCCAAUCAAACCGGGAGAUAGCUGGUUCUCCCCGAAAGCUAUUUAGGUAGCGCCUCGUGAAUUCAUCUCCGGGGGUAGAGCACUGUUUCGGCUAGGGGGCCAUCCCGGCUUACCAACCCGAUGCAAACUGCGAAUACCGGAGAAUGUUAUCACGGGAGACACACGGCGGGUGCUAACGUCCGUCGUGAAGAGGGAAACAACCCAGACCGCCAGCUAAGGUCCCAAAGUCAUGGUUAAGUGGGAAACGAUGUGGGAAGGCCCAGACAGCCAGGAUGUUGGCUUAGAAGCAGCCAUCAUUUAAAGAAAGCGUAAUAGCUCACUGGUCGAGUCGGCCUGCGCGGAAGAUGUAACGGGGCUAAACCAUGCACCGAAGCUGCGGCAGCGACGCUGAUGCGUUGUUGGGUAGGGGAGCGUUCUGUAAGCCUGUGAAGGUGGCCUGUGAGGGAUGCUGGAGGUAUCAGAAGUGCGAAUGCUGACAUAAGUAACGAUAAAGCGGGUGAAAAG
Molecule: ribosomal RNA, 642 nt
Filed under: Salmonella enterica subsp. enterica
Lineage: Bacteria; Pseudomonadati; Pseudomonadota; Gammaproteobacteria; Enterobacterales; Enterobacteriaceae
Description: bacterial LSU rRNA
Rfam family: Bacterial large subunit ribosomal RNA
Source: RNAcentral